RNAcentral lists this ribosomal RNA (258 nucleotides) under uncultured bacterium. RNAcentral's name for it is "partial 16S ribosomal RNA". It matches the Rfam family "Bacterial small subunit ribosomal RNA", at positions 524 to 776 of the family's 1533-position model. The record is from RNAcentral.
UACGGGGGGUGCGAGCGUUGUCCGGAAUCACUGGGCGUAAAGGGCGCGUAGGUGGUUUGAUAAGGGUGUGGGUGAAAAGUCCGGGGGCUCAACCCCGGAUCUGCCGUGCCGACUGUCAAACUCGAGGACUGUAGAGGCAGACGGAAUUCCGGGGUGUAGCGGUGGAAUGCGUAGAGAGUCCGGAGGAAGACCGGUGGCGAAGGCGGUCUGCUGGGCAGUUUCUGACACUGAGGCGCGACAGCGUGGGGAGCAAACAGG